UACGUAGGGUGCGAGCGUUAAUCGGAAUUACUGGGCGUAAAGUGUGCGCAGGCGGCCGAGCAAGUCGAGUGUGAAAGCCCCGAGCUUAACUUGGGAACUGCGCUCGAAACUACUUGGCUAGAGUGUGGCAGAGGGAGGUGGAAUUCCACGUGUAGCGGUGAAAUGCGUAGAGAUGUGGAGGAACACCGAUGGCGAAGGCAGCCUCCUGGGCCAACACUGACGCUGAGGUGCGAAAGCGUGGGGAGCAAACAGG
RNAcentral lists this ribosomal RNA (253 nucleotides) under uncultured bacterium. Its description in RNAcentral is "partial 16S ribosomal RNA". It matches the Rfam family "Bacterial small subunit ribosomal RNA", at positions 524 to 776 of the family's 1533-position model. The record is from RNAcentral.